This 472-nucleotide ribosomal RNA is filed under the name uncultured bacterium. RNAcentral describes it as "SSU rRNA". It matches the Rfam family "Bacterial small subunit ribosomal RNA", at positions 26 to 518 of the family's 1533-position model. The record is from RNAcentral.
AGAAUGAACGUUGGCGGCGUGGAUUAGGCAUGCAAGUCGUACGGGGCCGCAAGGUACCCGUGGCGCAAGGGUGAGUAAGGCGACGGCAACCAACCCCAAGGCCGAGCAUAGCCGCGAGAAAUUGCGGGUAAUUCUCGGCGACGUCGCGAGUCGGCAUCGACUUGCGACCAAAGGUGCGAUUCCGCCUUGGGACGGACCGUCGUGGUAUCAGGUAGUUGGCGGGGUAAUGGCCCACCAAGCCUCUGACGCCUACCGGGCGUGCGAGCGUGGCCCGGCACACUGGGACUGAGACACUGCCCAGACUCCUACGGGAGGCUGCAGUCGAGAAUCUUCGGCAAUGGGCGAAAGCCUGACCGAGCGACGCCGCGUGGGGGACGAAGGCCUUCGGGUUGUAAACCCCUUUCAGCACAGACGAAGCGCAAGUGACGGUAUGUGCAGAAGAAGCACCGGCCAACUACGCGCCAGCAGCCGC